Molecule: unclassified non-coding RNA, 213 nt
Filed under: plant metagenome
Description: partial contains small subunit ribosomal RNA, internal transcribed spacer 1, and 5.8S ribosomal RNA
Source: RNAcentral
GUCUCCGUUGGUGAACCAGCGGAGGGAUCAUUACAGGAUCGAAAGACUCCUAUAACCCCUGUGAACUUACUACAAAUACGUUGCUUCGGCGGGUGCCCCGGGUCUCCCGGGGCGUUCAGCCCGCCGGCAGCCUUCAAAUUCUGUUUCUUUGCGUUGGCAUCUCGAGUAUACAAAAAUAAGUUAAAACUUUCAACAACGGAUCUCUUGGUUCUG